UUGAUUCGUGACCUACGACCAAAUAAAUGAUCAUCACAAAACUUAUUACAAAUAAACCUUAAUAUUUGCGUUUGGUUUUUUUUCUGCAUUGAACAUUUUGUACAGGUUUCUUCUGUCCACCGAGCAAGGUCAUGAUUUCUUGUGAUAUGACGUGUGAGGUACAGCCAACUAUAUUAGAGUGUACUACGGCUUGGAAAUAUAUUGGGAGCCAUUAGGCAUUUGAGCUGGC
This 229-nucleotide long non-coding RNA is filed under the name Mytilus galloprovincialis (Mediterranean mussel). The record is from RNAcentral. Lineage: Eukaryota; Metazoa; Mollusca; Bivalvia; Mytilida; Mytilidae.